GGCCGCGUCCGCUCGGGUCGCGGGUUUGGGCUUGUCGUUAUAUAGGGAAAGCAGAGCGCGUGGGGGUGGAGGGGAGGGCUAGUGGGGCACGCAGCGGCACGAAGAAGGGGCAGGUGAGCGGCGCAGCGGCAGGCGGAGGAGGAGGAGUGGGUGAGCAGCGGCGCCGGCGGCAGGCGGCCGCAGCGCAGGGACGUCCGUCUGGCCUCUUCCGUCCCCCCAGGCGACGCUACCGCGCGCACAUGCAGCCCUCGGACCUGGGACGACACUGCCGGGCCCUCGAGCUCCUGCUCAAGGCGCACAAGCCCCAAGAGGCCUCACAUACCCAACGUUCCUUCGGUGGACCAAAACGUAAACAACUAAAACUACUGUCCUCCCUACGAGUCCUACGUUAAUUUCUAAAUCUACCGUUCUUACCAACCUCUCAACUCAACAGAGCAUUACGGUCGUCACCGGCACCACCAGCACUAGCUAGACCACCUAGACUCUACUUCACAAUACUCACACCACUCAGACCAGUGAAACGGGCACUUACGGCAGACUCCUAACCAAGACCCCCGGAUCCGUCACCUUCCGCAGCGUCGUCCUCAGCUUCGGCAUCGGCGUCAGCCUCGGGAUCUAUGGCGUCCUCAGGUUCGAUAUCGUCUUCUUCGAUGUCGGCGAGAGGUUCCGCAGCAUCACACAGUGGCCGAGCACCCGCGUCACACUCGUCCAGUGGUCAGGCACCUGCACUACUUAGAGGGCGGAUACCGUUACCCAUAGCGGCGUCGUCCUCGAUCUCGACAUACAAGACAGACCUCUCACAAGACAACGUUUAUAACGAGAUAUGGGCAGUCGAUACUUGUCACAGGACAGGGGGUAAACUUUGUAGGCGGUAGCUGACGAACUCAAACCAAUUCAAGGGGUAUUGAAAAUGGCGGGAUAAUACCAACACAAACUAAAAUAGAGAUCUAUUUGAAUACCUAACCCACAUAGUAAUUGAUUCUGGUCGACAGAAAAGAAAACACACAAUUUUUCCGUAGCAGGACGUGACGAAUUUUCGCAGCCGGCAGAAGCCGAAACUCAAUACAGAUGUACCAAAACGAGAAGUGAGAAGCAAGUAGGGAGCGGGAGCGGACGAGGUACGUUUGACGCAUAAUCAAGGACGUCCGCUGGGGAGACGCAGCGCACAUGAAGCUACUUCUACGACGAGCAGUUUUUCGUCAUUGCUGUAAAGAAGAAAACGUUUAACCUACUCAGAGGUCUUCGACGUAGACGAACGAAGAGACCCUGACUGCCGUUCCAUAAAUCAACUUACCGGACGUGGGAAUGGAGGCACGGGGUACGGUCCACUACUCCAGUAGACUCCCCGUUAAUAUCGACCCAUUCAUAACGUCCUCCACAUUCGGACAGAUCUGACGCCACGACUCAAGCCGUCAACCGCAGCAAGAAGUACGAGAAGCAAGAGUUGAAUAGGGACUGUACGACGGACGACUAGAAGGGGUGUAAGACGAAAGAAGUGACGCGGAUGCUAACUCGAGGAACCAUCGAAUAUCGAAGGUCAGUGUAAGGAGACGACAACCUACGUUGUAUAACCAGUUAUCCAAAUAAGAUUAUUAAACCAACUCGGACGUAAACACUUGGACUUAAAAGUCUAGGAUCUAACAAGACUGUAACUUCACAGUUCUGUACAAUAAACUGGAACUAGACGAAAGAAAAAAGUUAAACACGCUUACAAGGGAACCGAUAUAACCAGCCAUACGAAACCACCGGAGGAACGUCGUACUUUAUUCAGGG
This 1773-nucleotide ribosomal RNA is filed under the name Triticum aestivum (bread wheat). Its description in RNAcentral is "partial small subunit ribosomal RNA". Lineage: Eukaryota; Viridiplantae; Streptophyta; Magnoliopsida; Poales; Poaceae. The record is from RNAcentral.